UACGUAGGGUCGCAAGCGUUAUCCGGAAUUAUUGGGCGUAAAGAGCUCGUAGGCGGUUUGUCGCGUCUGCCGUGAAAGUCCGGGGCUCAACUCCGGAUCUGCGGUGGGUACGGGCAGACUAGAGUGAUGUAGGGGAGACUGGAAUUCCUGGUGUAGCGGUGAAAUGCGCAGAUAUCAGGAGGAACACCGGUGGCGAAGGCGGGUCUCUGGGCAGUAACUGACGCCGAGGAGCGAAAGCGUGGGGAGCGAACAGG
RNAcentral lists this ribosomal RNA (254 nucleotides) under uncultured bacterium. Its description in RNAcentral is "partial 16S ribosomal RNA". It matches the Rfam family "Bacterial small subunit ribosomal RNA", at positions 524 to 776 of the family's 1533-position model. The record is from RNAcentral.